UUAGCAUAUCAAUAAGCGGAGGAAAAGAAACCAACAGGGAUUGCCCUAGUAACGGCGAGUGAAGCGGCAACAGCUCAAAUUUGAAAUCUGGCCUCCUUUGGGGGUCCGAGUUGUAAUUUGCAGAGGGCGCUUUGGCGUCGGUAGCGGUCUAAGUUCCUUGGAACAGGACGUCACAGAGGGUGAGAAUCCCGUACGUGGUCGCCUACCUUCGCCGUGUAAAGCCCCUUCGACGAGUCGAGUUGUUUGGGAAUGCAGCUCUAAAUGGGAGGUAAAUUUCUUCUAAAGCUAAAUACUGGCCAGAGACCGAUAGCGCACAAGUAGAGUGAUCGAAAGAUGAAAAGCACUUUGGAAAGAGAGUCAAACAGCACGUGAAAUUGUUGAAAGGGAAGCGCUUGCCGCCAGACGUGCCCGUGGUGGUUUUCCUCCGCGGGCAGGCCAGCAUCAGUUUGGGCGAUCGGAGAAGGGCCUCUGUCAUGUAUCUUCCUUCGGGAUGACCUUAUAGGGGAGGCGUAGUACGAUCAGCCCGGACUGAGGUCCGCGCAUCUGCUAGGAUGCUGGCGUAAUGGCUGUAAGCGGCCCGUCUUGAAACACGGACCAAGGAGUCUAACAUCUAUGCGAGUGUUUGGGUGUCAAGCCCGAGCGCGCAAUGAAAGUGAACGGAGGUGGGAACCCUCUCUGGGGGUGCACCAUCGACCGAUCCUGAAGUCUUCGGAUGGAUUUGAGUAAGAGCAUAGCUGUUGGGACCCGAAAGAUGGUGAACUAUGCUUGAAUAGGGUGAAGCCAGAGGAAACUCUGGUGGAGGCUCGCAGCGGUUCUGACGUGCAAAUCGAUCGUCAAAUUUGGGCAUAGGGGCGAAAGACUAAUCGAACUAUCUAGUAGCUGGUUCUGCCGAGUUUUUCCCUCAGGAAA
This 909-nucleotide ribosomal RNA is filed under the name Jalapriya apicalivaginata. RNAcentral describes it as "Jalapriya sp. XF-2021b partial large subunit ribosomal RNA". It matches the Rfam family "Eukaryotic large subunit ribosomal RNA", at positions 35 to 980 of the family's 3401-position model. Lineage: Eukaryota; Fungi; Ascomycota; Dothideomycetes; Pleosporales; Dictyosporiaceae. The record is from RNAcentral.